Molecule: long non-coding RNA, 223 nt
Filed under: Elaeis guineensis (African oil palm)
Lineage: Eukaryota; Viridiplantae; Streptophyta; Magnoliopsida; Arecales; Arecaceae
Description: long non-coding RNA (EGUI_LNC047670)
Source: RNAcentral
GGGACACAAGAUGGAGCAAAGAAUCAGAGCGAAAGUUGAAGACUGAAAAAAGGAGUAGUUUCAAGUUCUUAGUCAACUCAGACUGAGACUAAGUCGACUAAGUUGAAGGUGAGUCGAUUCAGUCUCAGUCUGAAUUAACUAUAUCUCAGAGAACAAAAAGUAGGAUCUCAGGUAAACUGUGGUACGACAUGCAGGUGAGUCGACUCAAGGCUAGUUUGAGUUG